GAUGUUUCGAAAGAAGAAAAUGUAGAAUCCAUGAUGAAAACUGUGGUUGAUCGAUGGGGAACAGUUGAUAUCUUGAUCAAUAAUACAGGUAUCACGCGUGAUACCUUGUUGAUGAGAAUGAAUAAGUCUCAGUGGCAGGAGGUUAUUGAUUU
Solanum verrucosum is the source of this 152-nucleotide long non-coding RNA. RefSeq lists it as uncharacterized. The transcript has 3 exons. The record is from RefSeq and is a predicted model, not a curated record. Lineage: Eukaryota; Viridiplantae; Streptophyta; Magnoliopsida; Solanales; Solanaceae.